GACGAACGCUGGCGGCGUGCUUAACACAUGCAAGUCGAGCGGAGCGGCGAACGGGUGAGUAACGCGUGAGUAAUUGCCCCCCUCUCUGGGAUAACAGUUGGAAACGGCUGCUAAUACCGGAUAGUGGGGGAUGAGUCGGGUCCUAUCAGCUUGUUGGUGGGGUAGUGGCCGACUAAGGGGACGCCUGGUAGCAGGCCUGAGCGGGCGACCGGGCACGUUGUGCUUAGGUACGACCCAAACUCCAACGGUAGGCAGCAGUCGGGAAUGUUACAGAAUAGGGCAGACCGUGAUGCAGCAACGCGCGUGCGGGAUGACGGGGUGCGAGUUGUGAACCGCUUUGAUCCAUGACGCGGUAGUUGCCGGGGAAGCACCGGCUAACUACGUGCCAGCAGCCGCGGUAAUUC
Molecule: ribosomal RNA, 404 nt
Filed under: uncultured bacterium
Lineage: Bacteria
Description: partial 16S ribosomal RNA
Rfam family: Bacterial small subunit ribosomal RNA
Source: RNAcentral